Molecule: long non-coding RNA, 950 nt
Organism: Setaria italica (foxtail millet)
Lineage: Eukaryota; Viridiplantae; Streptophyta; Magnoliopsida; Poales; Poaceae
Exons: 4
Source: RefSeq, a predicted model, not a curated record
GGUGUUUUAUUUCUAAAGUUGGAUGUGGGCAACUUGUGUUGCAAGCUUACAGUUUUAGCCCAAAAGUUAUGAACCAAUCUUCUUGCUGUGAGCUGUGACACUAACAUCUUACCUGAUGGUAGAUUUCAAUGAAUUGCAGUUGUGAUGGGGUCUGUGAAGGACAAUUCAUAUUUCAGUCAGGCUGUGUUGCUUUUGCUGGUAGCUAAUCUUAUCCCUUUCCAAAGUUGAUUGAUUUCAGUGAUGCUGUCUUUAGGAGGGAGAGUUCCAAAAUGAAGCGCGAAGUUCUCUUCAAACGGAUCUUGAUUCUUGAUCAUUCGAGUUGCGAAGUUUCUUGAGAGGGGUAUUGUCUGUGCAAAUGCAGCUUCACUCGCUCGGCGAACCGCCAUGAUGGCGCUCCAACGGGUGCAUGUGUGGUGUGGUGGCCCUUUCAGCCCGUGCUGUGCCUUCACCUUCCAAACGUCACUCAAACGUGACUCCAGGUAAAGAUCUUUGCAUCCAGCACAUGGCUGACCACUGGUGAGCCGUGUGGACGUACUGACGUACAUGCUGAGCUGCUGACAUUUGCAACUCAACUUGAAGCUUCUGUGAGUGUAGCAAUUCACCAAUUCGCUGCUUCCUCAGUGCACGAAUGAUUCCGUGUGUAUAAACAUUCUUCUGCAAAGCUGCUUCUUUGGUCAGGACGGAAUGGUAGGCAUGCUUCAGACUAUGAUAAUGAGAACUGAAAAGGCCCUCUCACCGACCGUUGGCACUUGGCAUUGGCAGGAUCGAUCGUGUGGGGGUUUUUGUUGAUACACCAAGCUAGUAUACAUCUGGUCCAUUUACAGGGCCCACCUGGCACUGCAUGGUCUACUUUGAGCAGCAUUGCGAGUGGUGGCCUGACAUCCUCAACGAGACACGAUAUCUGGUUGUUGAGCGUUGUUUUCUGGCGCUUAAUCGAAUAAACUUGUUUC